RNAcentral lists this ribosomal RNA (900 nucleotides) under uncultured archaeon. Its description in RNAcentral is "bacterial SSU rRNA". It matches the Rfam family "Archaeal small subunit ribosomal RNA", at positions 455 to 1354 of the family's 1478-position model. The record is from RNAcentral.
GUGUCAGCCGCCGCGGUAAAACCAGCACCUCAAGUGGUCAGGAUGAUUAUUGGGCCUAAAGCAUCCGUAGCCUGAUCUGUAAGUUUUCGGUUAAAUCUGUACGCUCAACGUACAGGCUGCCGGGAAUACUGCAGAUCUAGGGAGUGGGAGAGGUAGACGGUACUCGGGAGGAAGUGGUAAAAUGCUUUGAUCUCUCGAUGACCACCUGUGGCGAAGGCGGUCUACCAGAACACGUCCGACGGUGAGGGAUGAAAGCUGGGGGAGCAAACCGGAUUAGAUACCCGGGUAGUCCCAGCUGUAAACUAUGCAAACUCAGUGAUGCAUUGGCUUAUGGCCAAUGCAGUGUUGCAGGGAAGCCGUUAAGUUUGCCGCCUGGGAAGUACGUACGCAAGUAUGAAACUUAAAGGAAUUGGCGGGGGAGCACCACAAGGGGUGAAGCCUGCGGUUCAAUUGGAGUCAACGCCAGAAAUCUUACCCGGAGAGACAGCAGAAUGAAGGUCAAGCUGAAGACUUUACCAGACAAGCUGAGAGGUGGUGCAUGGCCGUCGCCAGCUCGUGCCGUGAGAUGUCCUGUUAAGUCAGGUAACGAGCGAGAUCCCUGCCUCUAGUUGCCACCAUUACUCUCAGGAGUAGUGGGGCGAAUUAGCGGGACCGCCGCAGUUAAUGCGGAGGAAGGAAGGGGCCACGGCAGGUCAGUAUGCCCCGAAACUCUGGGGCCACACGCGGGCUGCAAUGGUAAUGACAAUAGGUUCCGAAUCCGAAAGGAAGAGGUAAUCCCUAAACAUUACCACAGUUAUGACUGAGGGCUGCAACUCGCCCUCACGAAUAUGGAAUCCCUAGUAACUGCGUGUCAUUAUCGCGCGGUGAAUACGUCCCUGCUCCUUGCACACACCGCCCGUC